RNAcentral lists this ribosomal RNA (406 nucleotides) under uncultured bacterium. RNAcentral describes it as "partial 16S ribosomal RNA". It matches the Rfam family "Bacterial small subunit ribosomal RNA", at positions 28 to 526 of the family's 1533-position model. The record is from RNAcentral.
GACGAACGCUAGCUACAGGCUUAACACAUGCAAGUCUAGGGACCUGCUCACGGGUGCAUAACACGUAUCCCACCUACCCUUUCCUCGGGUAUAGCCUUUCGAAAGCAAGAUUAAUACCCAAUAUCACGUAUGGGGAUGCGUUACAUUAGGUUGUUUGUGAGGUAACGGCUAACCAAGCCUUCGAUGGAUAGGUGUUAUGGUAGGAAGGUCCCCUAGAUUGGAACUGAGAAACGGUCCAAACUACUACGGGAGGAAGAAGGUAGGAAUAUUGGUCAAUGGGCGCUAGCCUGAACCAGCAAAGUAGCGUGAAGGAUGAAGGAGUAUGGGUCGUAAACUUCUUUUAUAUAAGAAGAUGUAGUAGAUGAAUAAGGAUCGGCUAACUCCGUGCCAGCAGCCGCGGUAGUUC